Molecule: long non-coding RNA, 300 nt
Organism: Brassica rapa (field mustard)
Lineage: Eukaryota; Viridiplantae; Streptophyta; Magnoliopsida; Brassicales; Brassicaceae
Source: RefSeq, a predicted model, not a curated record
UGAUCUCUGGAAAGGUAUCGGGAUUGUUGAUGCGUCCGAGCUGAAUUAGUUGUUUAGAAAGUAAGCUAAUGUUAACGGGGUAAGGCGCCGUGGAGAAUCGGCGAGAAUGAGCCAACGUCAUCGCCGACGAGAUACCGGAGCUGGCGCCGUGCAUGCGGUUACUGAAUUGAGGAAUUGAAUUUAUUUUGAUUUUAUUGUAAUUCCAACACGACGGUAGAUGUAAAGCUAAGAGCAUGCCAUCACUAGUGGUGGUCGCAUGAUUUUUCACCAUUAAAAUAAUUAAAUUUGUGGAGUAAUUUU